RNAcentral lists this long non-coding RNA (39115 nucleotides) under Eucalyptus grandis. RNAcentral describes it as "long non-coding RNA (EGRA_LNC001050)". Lineage: Eukaryota; Viridiplantae; Streptophyta; Magnoliopsida; Myrtales; Myrtaceae. The record is from RNAcentral.
UGCUGCAAGAUUAUCUUGAUAGGACUUGACUUCAAUUUAAAACCGGUGACUCACUCUGACAUAUUCUCACAUAUGCUUAAUUGGCUUGUUAAUUGGGAUCAAGGACAAAAUAGAAUGGAUGAAUCCGAUGUCAUCAUGUCCUGGAGACCUGACAAGGCACUGAUAGAAUGGCUACACAGUUGUUUGGAUGUGAUCUGGCUAUUGGUUGAGGAGGACAAAUGUCGAGUGCCCUUUUAUGAAUUGCUACGCAGUGGCUUGCAGUUCAUAGAGAACAUACCGGAUGAUGAGGCCUUAUUCACCCUUAUCUUGGAGAUCCAUAGGCGGAGGGAUAUGAUGGCAAUGCACAUGCAGAUGUUAGAUCAGCACCUUCAUUGUCCUACAUUUGGAACUCAAAGGAUACUAACCCUCACUACUCCUAAUGUGUCUGGUGAAGCAGUUGGAAACUUACGGUAUUCCCCGAUCACAUAUCCAAGUGUGCUUGGAGAACCACUAAACGGAGAGGUGAUUAGCUACUCCUAAAUUUCGUAAAUGACGUGCAUUCUCCUCUACAAGAUAAAGACACGUCGUCUAAUAAAGGAGAUUUUUGAUAGAUUUUAUUUACUAAUCAUAUCUUUCAGGAACUAGCAACGUCAAAGGUACGGGGAAGUUUGGAUUGGGAAAGAGCAUUGCGAUGUAUAAGACAUGCUAUUAGGACUGCUCCAUCGCUUGACUGGUGGAAGCGUGUGCUUUUGGUGGCUCCUUGCUAUAGACCUUCAGGACAACCACCAAGUCCUGGUGCUGUUUUUACCUCUGAAAUGAUAUGCGAGGCAACAAUUGAUAGGAUUAUCGAGCUAUUGAAGUUGACAAAUUCAGGCAAGGUGUUCUAUCUUAACAGAUGUAGUUGGAGUUUUCCUCAAAAUUAAAGGGAAAACAACACAAAUGGUCCAUGAAUUUUGUUCCAAUGUGCAAUAUUGCCCUUGGACUUUUUAUAUGUUCAAUGUGGUCCCUAAACUAUUAAUAAUGUUCAAUCGACUCCUUAGAUUAUAUAAAAAUGGUUAAUGUUGUUCUUUUGUUAGGGGUUCAAAUUCCCACCUUCUCAAGGGAGGAUGGGGGUAGGAACGCAUAAGUUUGAGAGUGGGUUGCGACUCCCACGCCCUGCAAGAGGCAGGGCACAAGUCUGCAAGUGAGUGUAGAGUAGGAAUAGAGUAGGACUCAAUGUUUUGCUCUUUAAAAGUAGAUGGAUAAAAAGAUGAUGUCAACUCAUCAUUUUUAAAAGUCCAAUUCAGCAUAUAAUGAUUCAACGCUUGAUUUGUUGUUUGUGCAAACAAAGGACCACAUCGAACAUUUACAGAUAGUUCAGUGACCACAUUCCAAGAAGGACAUUGCACAUUGGGCUACAUGUCACGUAGCAUACGUGUCAUUUUCCCUAAAUUAAAUGUACAUUACGUUAGGAAUUCUAGAUAUGUUCUUGCACUAUUAAGGAGAAUUGUUCUUUACAGUUUUGGAGAAGGAAACAUAUUAGUUCUAAAAGUGAUGAUUUGCAAAUGCUUUGAAUAUAAGGUCUAUCUAGUUAAGCAUAUAGAUAUUUCCAUCUUUGUUUGUUGCACUGAUCACUAGGAAAUUCUUCUUGUGGUGGUCAUCAACGUCGAAGAUAACAUUAGAUCAACGGUUUAUUAUUGGGCUUUGCAUUUACUCAUUUGUACUUUAAUGGAAAAAAAUGGGGAGCGACUAAGAAUCAAUCAAUGGUUGCGAAGUUUAGGAUUUAGUUUGCUAUCUAUGAGUGCGUUUGGUUUAGCAUUUCCAAGGGGUUUUCAGCCUCUAAAGCUUCUUCGAGAAAUGCUAGAUCGUUUGGCAAUCAUUUUGAAGUAGCUUUCAAGUGACAGCAUUGGGAAUGUUGAAAGCCUAAUGCUAGUAGGGACUAAUUUUGAGCUUUUAGUAUUUGAAAUGUUGAAACUUAUUUUUUUUUCUUCCAAAAUUAUCCUCACUCAUUUUUCAAAUUUCUGAUUAAAUUAUCCUCACUCAUUUUUCAAAUUUCUGAUUUUGCCCUCAUUAUUAUUUUUUAAAAUGCCAAAAUAACGCCAAAAAAUCAAAUAUAUAUAAAUGCUAAAAAAAUUAUUUAUAUAUUUGAUUUUUUAGCAUAUAUAUUUGAUUUUUUAGCAUUGUUGUCAAAAUUUAUAUUUAAAAAGUUGCAUACAUUAUUUUUUUUUUCAAUUUUAAACAAAUAAAAAAAAAAAUUCCAAUGAAGGGUUUGUUUUAAAAAAAAAUCAUAUAUAUGUAUUUGAUUUUUUAGCAUUAUUUUCAAAAUUAUAUUUAAAAAAUUGCAUACAUUAUUUUGUCAAUUCUAAACUAUUAUAAAUUAAAAAUUUCGACAAAGGAUUCGGUCAUUUAAAAAAAAUUAUAUAUAUGUAUUUGAUUUUUUUAGCAUUAUUGUCAAAUUUAUAUUUAAAAAUUUAUAUACAUUAUUUUUUCAAUUUUAAACAAAUAAAAAUUAAAAAAUUCUGAUUAAGGGUUUGGCCUUUUUAAAAAAAAAUUAUAUAUAUGUAUUUUCUUUUUAGCAUUAUUCUCAAAUUUAUGUUUAAAAAGUUGCGUACAUUAUUUUUUCAAUUUUAAACAGAUAAAAAUUAAAAAAUUCUAAUGAAGGAUUUGGUCCUUUUUAAAAAAUAUAUAUAUUAUAUUUGAUUUGUUUUAGCAUUAUUGUCAAAAUUUAUAUUUAAAAAGUUGCAUACAUCAUUUUUUUUAAUUUAAGCAAAUUAAAAUUAAAAAAUUUCCGAUGAAGGGUUUGGUCUUUUGAAAAAAAAAUUAUAUAUGUAUUUGAAUUUUUUUUAGUAUUAUUGUUAAAAUUUAUAUUUAAAAGUUGCAUACAUUAUUUUUUUUUCAAUUUUAUAUAAAUAAAAUAAAUAAAAUUAAUAUUAAUCAUCCAAAGAGCUUUUUAAAUGUGUUUUCUACUAAACAGCAUUUCUCUCAAAGUUGCUUCUUAAAGCAUAGUUUAUCAAGCAGUCUUUGCAUUUGCUUAAAGAUCUUUAUGCUAAACUGCUUUGCAUUUUCCAAUGGGCUUUCAAAAUAUUGAACCAAACGCACCCAUAAUUGAAGAUAACAUAUACUUCUCUAGCUUAAAGAAAGGUAAUCAAGUAGGUAGGAUAUGCAAAACUGAUAAGCCUGUCAUGAAGAUAAUCAUAUCUAUGAAAUUGCUAUGAUCGGGGUCAAAUUAAUCAUAAAAAAACAAAAAAAAAGCUUGAGCACAUAAAGAACCCGAGAAGAGUUUGUAUGGUGAAACAAAGAAAUUUCUUAUGCCAAGCAGGCCAAAUACUACUUUCUCAAAAUGAUGGAAGACCACCUUAAAGUCACUAUGAUCGAUUCAAAUGGGAACUGUUGGAACACUUUAGUACCUGAGACUUAGUUUGGUAUUUGUUUAGCCAUCAUUUGGACGAGGCUGCUUAUUCUAAGCUGCCAUUCUAUCUGGGCAAUUGCACUUUUCGGAUGUUUGCAUCAAUUCCUUUAUUUAGCUAGUGAAGUCGUGCUCUUGACUUUUACCUAGUUAACUCCUUUUAAGCCAAAAAAUCAGUCUUGCUGCUGAAUUUUGAAGUUACUUCUUAGCAUAUUGAUUUUUCUUAGGCAAGAUUGUGAGUUGGAACCUUUGAUAACUUUUUUGACUAGGUGUCGGACUCUUAUAUUACCCCUUUUCUAAUUAUAUACUGAUGUGGAAAUCUAUCAAAAGUAGUAACUUUUUUGUUAAAUCCUUUCAUGGUUUUUUAAAGGAGAAGAUGAUGGUUGGUGAUGGAUUGACUUCCUGGAUAUCUAUUUGGAAAACCAAGGUCCAUGUAGGUUGUCGUAUUUGGUUGGGAAACUUCUCGCAGGCACAUCCUUACUUUGGACAAUCUGAAAAAAAAAAAGGAGUGGUGUUAACCUGUAGAUGCUUCCUUUUCAAUUAGAGAGGAGAAACCGUGUCAAACCUUUUAUAAAAAGUCCAACCCAAAAGCUUAAGUUGACAUGAAUAUUAAAAGCAUUAUUUCAACCCCUCCUCUCAUGUUAGAAAGGCCAACCCAAAAUCUUAAGGGAUCACUAGCUUUGAUACCAUGUUAGAAAGUCCAACCCAAAAUCUUAAGCUUAAUAGGUGGAGCGAUACCAAAUGAAUAUAAAGAGCAUUUAGGAUCCAUUGUGAAGCAAUGUGGGACAAAAUUUCAACAAAUCUUCUUCUUCAUUAUAUUUUGGAUGAGUGCUUUUUGGGCAACCUGUUAUGCCUCUAUGGGCCUUUGUUGGGUUAUAGCCGAAUCACUUGAGCAAGAACUUGGGACAUGGCAAGGUACUUUUAUACCUUGCGGUUGUUGAGCCGGUACCAUUAGCUCCUCUGGUUUAUUUUUGGUUCAUAGAGUGGAAUGAGAGAACUUUUGAGUGGCAAGAGUCCUCUAUUCAAGAUCUUAUUCAAAAUUGGCUUAAAGUUCUACAUCUUUGGUAUAGUGGGGAUAUGUUCUUGGAUGUAGAUGCUUCACUGGACAUUGUGGAUACCUUGUCUUGUAAAUGAGAUCCCCUUCUUGGUUUUGAGCUCUUUCUGGACAUGAGCUCUUUUCGUACAUAGGUUGGCUUCCCUUUGGUGUCUUAUAGUGAAUUUCUCUGUACUUAAAAAAAAAAAAUGCUGAUGUACUAACAACUUCCUUGACCAGAAUAGACGGGAAAGCUGGUCACCUGGUCAAGACCCUGCGAAGAUUAAGAAGUCUGUGAAUAUAAGAGAUAUCGUGUACCCUAUAUAUGAUAUUUAUGUUGUAACUCAUUUGAUAAUGAAGACUUCUCUGUAAUAAAAUAAGGUGGUUUUCUAUCAAAUAUGGGAGUAAUCAUGGAGGGAAAGAUAACUUUUGGCCGUGCUCUUUUGGUUUGCUGCUUAAAUUAGAUUCUUCAAGUUGUGCUUUUUAUUUGUUGUGACCGAAAUUGAUCUCAUACUUCAGAUUUCCUUAUCAUUCUUCCAGUGUUGUGUUUAUUUUUCUACAUGCCUGGAUUUGUAAUGCUGGUAAAAAAUGAUUAAAAUCUAGUCAUUCAUAGAUUGCUGGAGAUUUAGAAUGGACUCACAACAAACAUAAUUUUUUGCAGAUAUAAAUUGCUGGUCAGAGUGGCUCAUCUUUUCAGAUAUCUUCUUUUUCCUAAUGAAGAGUGGGUGUAUCGAUUUUGUUGAUUUUGUGGGCAAACUAGUUGUGCGACUUACAGAAGGCGAUCAACAAAUUCUUCGUACAAAUCAUGUGACUUGGCUACUUGCUGAAAUUAUUCGAAUCGAGCUCGUGGUAAAUGCUUUGAAUUCAGAUUCUAGAAAGGUUGGUUUUGAACUAUCAAUUGGUUUUGGAUCACUAUUUUUCAGUUUUUUUCCUGUUCUUUUUUUUGGCCAUACAGUCUUGUUUCUAAUCAAUAUAUGCUCAACAGGGUUACUUUUGCCGUUGGGCGUGAGUUAUUUCAUAUCAUGUUGUCGGAACAUGUCUUAGAAAACAGAGAGAUAAGUUUACAUGAUGAAUUUAGGACCCCAUUCCUUAAUCCUCUCCUUAUACAGUGACUCAGCUGAUAACAGUCACAAAGUUGGUUUGGUGGUCAAAGCAUUUUUUGGUCCUCACUUGACAUCUGACUCAAGCUUCAGAACAGAUGUUGAUUGUUGAUCAUCCAGUUUAUUUGACUUUAAUGAGCAUGAUAAUUUAUUUGUGGUAUUUUUGGUUCUUUCUUCAAGCUACAUUCCUGCUGUAAUUCAGCUGUCCAAGUUAUUAAUAAAAAAUUUUACGUGUUUGUAACACACAUUUUGCAGGACGCAUCUACUCAAUUAACCUAAUAUGCUCUUGAAUAAUGUGUUCUGCUCUUCUUCUAUUAUGCGCUUGUUCUCAAGAGGACCUGUAACUCAAUUUGACGACGAAGGUUUAAAACAGAAGAAAGUGAACUUGCAUAAUGAUGAUUGUAGUGAUAAACUGGAGAAAGAGAGGAAAUGCUGAAUAUAAUGAGCUGCAAAUAUAGUUUUGUGAAGAGUGCAUAGAAUGUUGCUAGAAUAAGUGAUUUUUGUGAGCAUGGAAAUUCUAGCUGAAUUAUAGUGGAGUAUACAAUGUGGAAGACUGGACUUAACUUUUAUUUGGCUAAAUGUAGAUGUGUGAAAGUUUUGACAUUGAAAGAUAAAAACAACAGUCUGGUGAAUUAAUAUUUCCUUUAUAGAAUAAAAUGAAAAGGUGUUAUGUUAGGAUGAGGAGGGGGCCCAAUGGAAAAGGGCCAUAAAAUCUUUGUUCAGGUGGCUGGGCUUUAAUACUAAAUAUGACUUGGUUAAAUUGCUGGUGGCAAAAUUUCUCAUAGAACAGACGCAUAAACCUUGCAUAGGACAGAUAUAGAUCACAUGCAUAAACCUCGCUUACUGAGGAGCACUUAAUUAAUUCCAUGCUUCCAAACUUUGCCUUAGGAUGAGGAGACAAAAUCUUGAUCAUAAUUGUGUACAGGGUUUCCAGAGGUUUUAACUCUUAUAGAGUAACUUGCCUAUGCUUAUAAAACUUGUGAUUCUCCAGCAAUCAGGUCCUUUUAGAUGAUAUUAGGCUUCCUUGUACUAGCCGGUGAAGGGUUUGAUUGAUGAACAAGGUUUUAGUAGACCAUGGAUUAAAAGGACAAACGUCCACUUCUCACUUACAGUAAUUAGCUUUGAUAUGAGAUGUGGUUUCUUGCAAUUUGGAUCACAUGCAUAAACCUCCCUUACUGAGGAGCAUUUAAUUAAUUCCAUGCUUUCAAACUUUGGCUUAUGAUGAGGAGGCAACAUCUUGAUCAUAAUUGUCUACAGGGUUUCAAGAGGUUAUAACUCUUAUAGAGUAACUUGCCUAUGCUUAUAGCACUUGUGAUUCUCCAGCAAUCAGGUCCUUUUAUAUGAUAUUAGGCUUCCUUGUACUACCUGGUGAAGGGUUUGAUUGAUAAACAGGGUUUUAGUAGACCAUGGAUUAGAAGGACAAAUCUCCACUUCUCACAUACAGUAAUUAGCCUUGAUAUGAUGUGUAGUUUCUUGCAAUUUAGAUGGCUUUUGCAGAUUAAUUCACAUAUUCUUCAAUUGUUUAAUAUCUUUUACUCUUGAAGUUCAGAAUGUUGAAUCAUUACGUAACUCGUGCUUUGCCCCCUGCUAGGUGGAGACAAUCAGGAAGAUUUUGUCAUUUCAUCGAGAAGACAGAGGCUCAGAUCCUAAUAAUCCUCAAAGUAUCCUACUUGAUUUUAUUAGCAGUUGUCUGACUUUACGAAUUUGGUCACUGAAUACAGCAACGAGGGAAUAUUUGAAUAAUGAGCAGCUUCAGAAAGGAAAGCAGAUAGAUGAAUGGUGGAGGCAAGUGGGCAAAGGUACUGCUUAUGAAUAGCCUUGUUAGAGUUUAGUUGUUUGAUGGUAUAGACAUACCUAUUACUACUCGUGAAUUCUAUCUACUGUUCCAUUAUUGUCGACUUCUCACUUAAGCCAUUCUUUCCAUUGGCUAACAAAUGUUCAUUGGCUUCUAGAAAAGCAUAGAAAAACAUGGACUAUAAGCUUGGACACAGAAAAAAGACGUAUAAUGUGCCUAGAAAAUUUGAUGUUCCAUUAUAAUGUGCCCCGCAAAUUUGAUGGCUUCUAAUUUAAGUAGGAUUGUACUUCUCAGGAAAAUUUAAUAGGAAUGGCAGGCCAGGUAAAAGGAGAUUUCAUGUUACCUUAAAAUAGAAGCUGCAAAUGCCUAUAUUCCUCCACCCAGGAGAUGUUCCUUUACGGAAUUAGUCUUUUUAAAAACCUUAUUCCUUUCUGAAACAUCUUUCUUCAUUGGUGUUUUUACACUCUGCACCAUCACUUUCCAGAAUUUACACUUAACAUCCUCUCACUUAAUCUUCAAUAAUUACCUGCACCUUGUGUUAGUAUUCUUUUUCUUGAUCACCCUCUACAGUUUAAUUAUAAGCAAUGAUGCCACUAGAGGCCGAGAUUCCAUUUAACACAAAUGCACUUCAGCUAGCUGCACUUCCAUGCAGAUCACAGAUUCUGAGUAAGGCAACUUUCUGGAGGUAAAAUUAUAUUGAUGAAAUAGAGGUUUUGGUCGCCAGCAAGGUAGCAGGAAAGAGAUAUGUUGAAUGGGAUAUAAAAUCAUGCAGGAUUAACUCAGAGACCGCCUCUGAGCAUCAAACUAAUGUAAACCGAGAAUCAAGACAUGUAUGAUAAUUUAGAAACGAAAAGCUAAAUUUAACCAUCACAUAUUUGAAAAUAGAUAUGAAGUAUUUGCCAAUAUGGGUCCAUGUUCUGGUUUUGCUUCAUGCAAUUUCAGACUAUAAAGCUUAGCAAACCGUUAAAUAGGAAAGAAGGAAUGAUGACCCAAGAAGUACCUUGAGCUGCUUUUUGAAAAUCACCUUUGAACUCUUCAGUUGACAUAACUCUGACAACUUAUGCUCUUGGCUACGUCAAUUAAUUGUCACAAUUGUCAUGUGCAUUUAAUGAAUGCAUCUGAUGUGCCACCCUACAACUUACGUGUAUGAAUAAUACGAGCUCACGGACUUGAUGCAUGUGCUUGCACACAAACUCAUGAGCGAGAACGCUGUAAUUUAAAUCACAUAUUAACAGAGAAAAUCAAUCAACCUUCUGUAUUCUUUUUUCACCUCAAAGGAAGUGAAUGCUAUCCUCAACCAUGUGGCCGUAUUUUUCUCUGUCUCUUAUCGUUAGCCUAGUUUUAGGCUAUCACAAUGUCAAUGUGGAUGCUAAUAGCAAAGUUUAUUUGGACUGCACCAAUUGCUUAAACCUGUUGUCUCAGACUUGUUUAUAAAGUUUCAAUCCAUGCAUAUCGAGCAGAUUUUCUACAGCUUGUUGAGCUUCUUUUUCAGGAGAUCGCAUGAUGGACUACAUGAAUAUGGAUGAGAGAUCAAUAGGGAUGUUUUGGGUUGUAUCUUACACCAUGGCUCAACCAGCUUAUGACACGGUGAUGAACUGGUUAUCCUCUGCUGGAGUUACGGAAUUAUUACCGGGUUCUAAUAUGCCAAAUGAGAGAGUAAUGAGGGAAGUAAGCCCAAUACCAAUGACCCUAAUCUCUGGGUUCUCAAUGAACCUAUGUUUAAAAUUGGCGUUUCAGAUGGAGGAGGCUUUAUUUUCCAACCAGGUAUCCAUUAAUGGAGCUUUCUCCUUUCUACAAUUCUGGUGGAUUUUACUUUUGCUGGUCCAUCAUCGCUCAUCUUCAGCUUAAUUGGCAUGAUAUCAUCUAUUGCCACUUUGUACAGCUCUAUCCUUUGUUUCUGUUUAAUCUAUGGUUAUGCUUUGCAAUGCCCGAGUGUGAAGCAGCAGGCAUCUAAUCUAAUCCAAGAUGAUAAUAUGCCAGUAAAUGUUGAUAGUUCAUGCACCAUUGUUUUGCCAAUAUCAUAUAUUCUUUUCUGAAUGCAUAUAUUCUUUUCUGAAUGCAGGUUGUGCCUAGUAUUGCUAUGGUGGAAACAUAUACCAGACUGCUGCUCACUGCCCCUCAGUGUAGGCACUUCUUUCACCCAGUCUAAGUAAUAAGUAUGCCUAAUCUUUAAUGCAAAGUUCUACCUAGUUGAGGUGACAUGACUAUGUCCCAUUUUCUGCAGCAUUUGGCUCAGAGAAAUCCGGCCUUGUUGAGUAAGCCCGGAGUUACAAUUUUGCUAUUUGAAAUUUUGAACUAUCGCUUACUUCCUCUCUACAGGUAAUUCUGAUUGGUCCAUAGAAUAUCUUAUGUUUCCAUAGUAUUUACGGUGUGCUUAACUCUAGUUAUUCCUUUUGAUGAUCGUUCAGUGUUGAAACUUCUAGGCUCCAAUUCUUGAUCAAUCUCAAUCUUUCUCCAUAGUCAUUGGAUCAAACUUUCUUUUCAGAUACCAAGGGAAAACCAAAGCUUUGAUGUAUGAUGUCACGAAAAUUAUUGCUGCUCUCAAAGGGAAGCGUGGGGAUCAUCGUGUAUUUAGAUUGACUGAGAACUUAUGCAUGAAUGUAAUUUUCUCACUGAGAGAUUUCUUUUCGGUGAAAAGGGAAGGGAAGGUGAGUAAAAUAUUAGGUAAACGUGGAACUAAUUAUCUGGUGUGUUAUCUUUUCUUGCCGGUUACUCCCAUGAUCUCAAAUGCCAAAGAUUUUUUUUAUCUAAUUUAUUGCCAAUAUUUCUUUUGGCAGGGUCCAACUGAAUUUACUGAAACUCUGAAUAGAAUGACGGUCAUUACCCUAGCAAUACUCAUUAAAACUCGUGGCGUUGCUGAUGCUGAUCACCUUCUAUAUGUUCAAACGAUGCUAGAACAAAUACUAGCAACUAGUCAACAUACAUGGUCGGAAAAGACACUACGCUAUUUCCCUUCUGUGCUUCGCGAUGCCUUGGCAGGGCGAAUUGAUAAGAAGGGCCUUGUCAUUCAAGCAUGGCAGCAGGUUCAUCAUAGAACUUAAAACCCUUUUAACUUCAGAUCUUUGUUAUCUCUACUUUUCCUAGCCAUAAUUAUUUCAAAUAAUAUUGCAUUUUUGUCUAGUAUCAUUCGUUCCUUGCACUAUAUGGAGGACUUUCACAGGAUUUUACUACCUUUUGACUAUAAAAUUCUUUUGUUCCCGUGUAUGUUUUCCACACCCCAUUUCUAUCACCAGUUAUUGCCUUAGGCAUGAGGAGUCUCGUGGCAUAUGAUUCUACUGUUUCCGAGUGUUAUAUUGUUCAGGGGUCAUUCAGUGUGCUUGUAUUUAGCUGACAAAAUGGUUGCCUUUGGAUCUGAUUCUACAUCUUAGAAUUUUAGUGUAGUUUGCAGUCUAUGGAUGAGCUAAGAUAUGGGAAAAUUACAAAAAGAAGUCCUAAACCUAUUGCAAUUGUACUAAUUCAGUUCUAAACUUUUUUUUUUGGCUAAUUUAGUCAUAAUUCUUUUACAAUUGUGCCAAUUCAGUCAAUCCGGCCAAAAUUGGUUGGCUGGCGCUGAUAUGGACACCGGCUAGGAACAGUUGGCCAGCGAACGCUGAUGUGGCAAUUUUUUAAUUUUUUUUUCUUUUUUUUUUUCCCAUUUUCUCCUUCCUCUGGCUGGCGAGGCUCGCCCCUGUUGGCCACUGGCAAAGGUGAGCCUCGCCCAACGACAGCGGCCUCGCCGGCUGCUAGCGAGGACUGUUGCCAGAUCUGGACGGUGAGGCUUGACCUCGCCAUGGAUGGGCAAGGCCGAGCCUUGCCAGAUCUUGCGACCUCUUGCGCUUCUGGUCGUUGGCGACCUGGGCCAGGGCCUUGCCGCCCCCUUCGGACUCGCCCGUCGCCCGCACCCUUUUUGGGGAUGCCAUUGAGAUCUGCGAUGGUCCUCACUGGUGGCCGACGAGGCCGCCGUCGUUGGGCGAGGCUUGCCUUUGCCAAUGGUUUGUGGGGGCAAGCCUCGCCAGUGGCCGGUGACUCGCCAGCCCUCGCCUCUGGCCACCGGCUAGCCAAAGGAAGAAGAAGGUGGGGAAAAAAAAAAGAAAAAAAAAAUUAAAAAUUUAAAAAAUUAAAAAAUUUGAUAUAAAUAAAAAAAUAUUAAAAAAUUUCCAUAUCAGUGUUCACCGGCCAGCUGUCCCCGGCCGGCGUUCACGUCAGCGCCGACCGGCCAAUUUUGGUGGGAUGAACUGAAUUGGUACAAUUGUAAAAGGUUUAGGACUAAAUUGGCCAAAAAAAAAUUUAUGACUAAAUUGACACAAUUACAAUAGGUUUAGGACUUUUUUGGUAAUUCUCCCGCUAAGAUAUAGGUUCGCAUGUGUUUUGGAAGGGUGGGUUUGAAUUCAUGAUAUCUUGAGAAAGAAAUUCUGUUAAUGUGAUGUUUGUCAUAUUGCUAAUCUUUGUUGGAAAGUCUCAAAAGCUUAAAUCAUUGGGUGGAAGGAGAUUACGCGAAUACAAGACUCAUCUAAAUCUCAUAGACGAGUGAUUCGGGAUACUUUAACACUCUCUCACAUGCAAACCAGGCUAAGAACAACAUAUGGAAUUUAGAAAUGAGGAGGCUCACAUGCGUAACAAACUUGGGGAAUAACCUAGAUGUUAGAAAGUCCAACCCAAAAGCUUAAGCCAUUUGGUGGAGGGAUCACUUGAGUAUGAGGCUCAUCUAAACCUGUGGACAAGUGAUAUAUGAUACUUUAACAAUCUCAAAACUAGCAUAUGGGUCAAAAAUGGAAACAAUUAAGGCUUUCUUUGCAAUGAUUGUUUUACAAGCUAAAUUAACCUACACAGCCAACAUGUGCAUCUUGUUCAUGUAUUUAAAUGUCCUCUUGGUAAAGCUUAAAUGUGGGAGACAUGCUUUAGCUUUUCAUUUAACAGGCCUGUUAUUGGACAUAUUAGUUCUCUUAUUCUACUAGGUCCCUGUUUUACUCAUGUACAGUGCAAUAUAAGUUCGGGAAAGUCCUGAAAAUUGUGCAUGAGAGGCUUUCGGACAUACUUAGUUUUUAGCUAUCAGUGUUGUAGAUUAUUUCUCAGGAUAAGGUUAAACUUCAUUUGCACUAUGGUCAUUACUAGUUUUCAAAUUUCAGGGUUUGCUUUAACUUUGUUCCUUUUUUUUUCUUCCCCAGGCAGAGACAACAGUCAUAAACCAAUGCACCCAGCUUCUUUCGCCAUCUGGAGAACCUAAUUAUGUGACAACCUAUACUAGCCAUAGUUUUCCUCAGCAUCGUCAAUAUUUAUGUGCUGGAGCGUGGAUUCUGAUGCAUGGGCAUCCCGAAAACAUUAACACUGCGAAUCUGGUAUUACCGCAAGCCGUACAGCACUUUGCAUGUUGCCAUGUGGUGCUAAUUAAUUAGUUGCAUGUUUCCUUAAUUGCAGAAUAGGUUUUUGGCCUAGUUUAUUUCAAUAAUAAUAAGUACUCCUUCAAUCUCUCUCUAUAACCUACAUGUGUGUGUUCUGGAUAAAAGGUGCGUGUGUUGAGGGAGUUCUCUCCUGAGGAAGUGACUGCUAAUAUCUACACCAUGGUGGAUGUUCUUCUUCAUCAAAUUCAGAUGGAACUUCAACAUGGGCAUUUUAUGCAGGUCUUCUAAUUUGAACUUUCUAGAGAUUUCAAGUGCAUAAGAACUCUCUCUCUCUCUACUUGUAAAAUGCGGGCAUCCAUUUUGAUCCAUGUGCAGCUCUUCCUUUUCAGGACCUCUUAUUCAAAACAAGUACCAACCUUGCAUUUCUGAUUUGGACCCAUGAGUUGCUUCCUUUGGACAUACUACUACUGGCACUUAUUGACCGUGAUGAUGACCCCCAUGCCUUACGCAUUGUGGUAACUUUCUAAAUCUUAUAUUUGUACUUUUCGUUGCAAUUGCUUAUGUCCACUUAUCAGAUCAUAUUUGGUCUGCUAUAUUGCUUCCUCUGCCCCCCAAUCAAAUCAGGUUAUUUUCGCUUCUUGCUAGCGUGGUCUUUAAAUCAACAGUUUCAAGGGGGCACGUUAUAUAUCAGUUAGCUGGGGCUCUAGUACAGAGGGUGAACACGGCGGUGCUCUUUUAGAAUUAAAUGAUAUGACAAGGCUAUGGUUGAUGAUGUUAUGGUAUUGAUGGUAUUACAAUCAAUUGCAUCUGACGUUAUACCUAAUGGUUAAAAUUAUAGGUCAGAAGUAAUCUUAUUAUGAUGUCUUUCAACUGUUAUUAUGCAAGAGUCUGUCAUGUAGUUUAUUUACUCUCAAGGAAUGUUUAGUUGCUUUAUAAGUUUUCACCAUGAUGAUUCAGCCAUAUGAAAUACCUUGCUGUUUGACGAUUGUCAAUCUUCUUUUCUGUUAUAAGUGGGAGGUUCGCCAUCUUGUAAUAGAAACAUCUAUUCCUAUCUUUGAUUUGGCUUAGCUUUUGAUGCUUCUCCCCAGCUCAUUAUUACCUACCUUUCCUAUUGUCCUCUUACUCCAUUGACACAUCUCCCCUUAGCUUAGUAGAGAGCUGCCUUAGCUUUUGCCUCAGCAAUCUUCUAUUUCAUGAGAAGUGGUCAUUGUUUCAAUACCUUGUUCCACUGUAGUUUAAAAAUUCUUUAAUGUUACUGAUCAUAAUUUGAAGAAUUUUAAAAAGUGAAAGCUUGAAGCUUCUCAUCGGAUAAAUCAAGAUUAGAAGACCGUGUUGUCUUUUUUAUACGUCGGUGCUAUCAAGGCAUGGAGAAAACCUGGAUUCAAACAAGUGAUAAUUUAGAAAAAUGAACCAUCUGAUACAUAGUCACAACUUGCCAAGUAGACAUUCUCAGUGGGGAAGCUUGAGGAAAGCUUGGCGCUGAAGACAGUCCUUCAGGUGGCCUAUUUUGGCGCAAGCUGAAAAACAAGUGUAGGCCCUGAAAUGGUUAAUAAUUUGUUAUUUUCUAGAUUGCAACUUUGUAUUUAGCCCACGCUGAGCAUUGGGUGCCUGACCAAAAAGACUUGCUGCUAAGCUGAUUAAAGUCUGCUGCUAAGCUGAUUAAAGUCUGGUGGUCCCAUUUAAGUCAUAAGAAAUAGUGUCUGAUAUGUUUGAGAAAUAAGAAGAGCCACUGGUCUGCUUGUAUAGUGGACUUCAAGUGUUUAUGGUCUCACGUUUCAAUCCUUUCGACGUAGCUUUGUCUUUUAAGUUUCCAGCUACUUGAACAAUUGUCCCUAUAAAUAAAUUCUUUAUUUAUCAAAAAAGGAAUUUUUACUUCGAUGGCAUUAACAAGCAUUAUGCUCCAGAUCAGCCUUCUUGACCGACAAGAACUUCAACAAAGAGUGAAACAAUAUAUUUUGAAUCGCGGACCUCCGGAACAUUGGACUUACACUGGAACUUUUAAGCGUGUUGAACUGCAAAAAGCGCUUGGGAAUCAUCUCUCGUGGAAAGAUCGGUAAACUUGCUGGCAUUAUCAUCCUCUUUGAUGGCACGUUAGGAAGGAUUUGGAUUUUUGCUCUUUUAAUCUCAGAUGGAGAUGCGAUGUAUUUCGUUAAUCUUUAGAUAAUAACCAUUUCCUGUUAAUUGUAAGUUCAAAAGUAAAUUUGACUUACCCCAAUUUUGUUAAUUUUGGAUGAUCAACAAUUAAAAAUUGCCCUUAUUACACUGUAUGAUUAAGAACUAGCAUGUGCAUUUGUUUCAAUAGAAAAUAUUUGUAAAAAGUACGCAGGAGUGUGUAUUUUAGUUCCAGCUUUCCUUUUCUUAAAAGGCUUGUUUUCAAGAAGAGAUUUCUAAAGAAGCAUCUAAAAUACUCUUACAAAAGUAGGUUUUAAGUGCUACAGUAACACAAGCAUUAAGUGAUUAGUUGCUGUCCCUCAUAAUUAUAGAUCUUAUCAUAGGCAACCCCUGGUUUUCUCAAGUAUAAACCUUUUCUUUAUGUGGUCAAAGUCUAGUAAUUAGUUAAUGAAUGGAUGUCUUGUGUGAAUGUCUCAAUCUGUUUGAAGUCUUCAAUGCAGGAAUCCUCCAUAGCAUGUAAAUAAACUGGCAAAGAAACCUCUUUUUUCACUCUUCCUGUCUGUCUGAGUAAUGAAUGAAACCAGUUUGUCUAGUCCUUCGUCAAUAUAGGGACUUACAUGGGUUGGAUUAGCAUUUGGCCAAUCUGUUGCAUUAUGUUCAUUAAGUUGAAAACGCAGGGACUUGGGGACUAUAUUUUAGUUUCAUUUCCUCAAGAUGCUUAUUCAUAUUGCAUCACUUUUUUUUUUUUUUUUUUUACAUCAGAUCAAUCUAAGUUGUCUCCUCUUGAAUUGGAUAUUCACUAGGGUGAAAUCUGGAUUAGAUAAAACGAAAAUUUCUGUUUCAAGGAUUCCUUACUAUUUAUCACUGUCUACAUGUUUGUUAUGUACUAGAUCUUAAUCUUUCUCCGAACCCUUGAAACUAUAUCCAUUGUCUUUAUACUGAAUCAAGCUAAUCCAUUGUAGUCCCUCUCGAAGGCACGCAGUCACAGAAGGCAAUUCAAUAUUCACUUUUUCUCUGUACAGGGAAAAGGGGAAGAGCCGAAAUAACUAAUUUGUAGGAGAAGAUACUCACUCAUUUUUCUUUAGAGUAGUGUUCCUCACCCACUCGAGAGUUGCUAGUUGAAUUGUUAGUCCUCCAAAAAUAGGUUUCUGAAAGCUUUUAGGGCAUAAUUCAUCUCACCAUUUAUAAUUGGAUUCUGGGUUUCUGGAGCUUUCUCGAUCUUCGGCUUACAAAUCUCCAAUUAAGUUAGUCUUGCGGCUAUGCACAUGCAAUGAAGCUCUUGUAGGAUGGAUCGACAAUGUCCUCUUAUUAUUGAAUAGGACUAAUCAUAGGGACAAUAUAGACGAUCUUCUUGGUAAGAGUCUGAAUGAUCAAAUUUUUGUGCCUUGUGCUGCAUUCAUUUUACUUGGACUGAGAACUUUCAUCAUGAACUCCUUUUUCAAGGAAGUCUUGAAAGCUGGUUUCAUCUGUACCCCAACUGUUAUUGGAUAUAUUUAAUUCAGCUUUAACUUUUACUGCAGCAAUUUUUAGAGUAGUGUAAGCUAUACUUCGUGAUGGUUCCGAAUUACAGUGAUGCAUGGUCAUUGAGCUUAAUUUCCAGUUGUUACUGGACGCUUCUGUGGACUGUAUUCUAACAGUUUAUGUUGAUAUUAGUUAAUUGGGCAAAUGAUGCUUGAUGAUGCAGGUAUCCCCCAUUUUUUGAUGAUAUUGCAGCCCGGUUGCUUCCCGUGAUCCCCCUUAUUGUUUACAGACUGAUUGAAAAUGAUGCCAUGGAUCAGGCUGAAGCAGUCCUGGCUGUUUACUCUCCAUUUCUAGCUUAUCACCCUUUUCGAUUCACAUUUGUUCGUGACAUACUCGCAUAUUUCUAUGGUCAUCUUCCUGGGAAGCUCAUUGUCCGAAUUCUGAAAGUACUUGAUCUUAGCAAGGUGAAUAUCCUCUUUAUAUCUUAAUCCUUUGAAAUGCUGCUGUCUCUACAACCAUGAUGACUUGAUUUUUUUUCCAGAUUCCACUUUCUGAGUCAUUCCCACAACACAUUAGUUCCUCAAAUCCUGUCACGUGCCCACCUCUGGAUUAUUUUGCUACUCUGCUAAUGGGUCUGGUCAACCAUGUCAUUCCUCCAUUGAGUAGUGACGCAAAAUCUGUUUCUGUUGGGGAUACUUCAAACAAUUCAGCUCGAGCCCCGCAUAACAAAGCUUUGCCAGCUCAACCUGGCCAAAUGAGUGCCUCAGAAGGUCAAAAGGCAUUUUAUCAAAUUCAAGAUCCCGGCACACACACUCAGCUGGUUCUUGAAACUGCUGUGAUAGAGCUGCUUUCACUUCCUGUAUCUGCAUCUCAAAUUGUGUCAUCCCUAGUUCAAAUUGUUGCUAACAUCCAACCUACCCUAAUUCAAUCUAGUAAUUGUCUGCAUGGAGCUCCAAAUGGCGUUGGACAAGGUUCAGUCCUACCAACUUCACCUUCAGGUGGAAGCACAGAUUCCUUGGGUGCAAGCAGAUCUACUCCUUCAGUUUCUGGUUUAAGUACCUCUAACUUUGUCUGGGGAAGUGCUUAUGCAUGUCAACAACCGUCUUGCUUGUUGAUCCAAGCUUGUGGUCUUCUAUUAGCUCAGCUUCCCACUGAAUUUCACUCGCAACUUUAUUUGGAGGCUACGCGCGUAAUUAAGGAGAGUUGGUGGCUGACUGAUAUAAAGAGGUCAUUGGGUGAAGUAGACUCUGCUGCUGGGUAUGCAUUGUUGGAUCCAACUUGGGCUGCACAAGAUAAUACCCCAACUGCCAUUGGUAUGCAUACGUUACUAUACCUUCUCAGCAGUAGCUCUUUUUUUUUUGGGGUCAGAUUCUCAGCAGUAGUUAGGGACACCUUUUGCAUAUGCAUGCCCUCAAAUAGUGUUCAGCAAACAAGUCCACCUUUGCUUAAAAUUUAACUUCGCCUUACAUUAAAAAUCCUCUUCAUGGUUUUUGUUAGAAGCAACUGUAAUAUGAUUAUAUUACCCUAAUACUAUGUUUGGAAAACAUGAUGGGAGAGGAGAAUGCAAAGAAAAUGCCCACUUAUAAAAAAAUUUCCUCCUCUACAUACAAGAAUUAUAAAAUGUUGAAAUAUUUACCAUCCAAAUUUUUGUUCACCUCCAUUUUCAUGCAAUUAUCAUAUGUUGUAAACAAAUCAAAAAACAGUCAGUGUAAUAAAUCCAUAGGUGGAAUAUGUCCUUGUGUGCAUCAUUGUCCUUAUGAGCUCUUGGUUUUCUUUACACUGGACUAAUUUCAACUUAAGCAUGCAAGGUUAUGAUCAUCCGGUUAGUAAUGAUUCUACAUGGGAUUUUCCACUGAAAACAUUGGGUCAAUUUUAACUUACUGUCUUCCUUGAUGUUGCAAUUUAAUAAACGACUCUUCAUUUUGUUGUGCGGUCUACAUAUACUCAGCCUGACAUGUAAAAUUCAUGAUGUGUUGCUGUUAUUUACCUGAAUUUUAUUUUGUGGACUCUCAAAUCAUAAUUAACCCAACCCAUGUCCAUCACGAAUAUCUGGAUAAUGGUACUGAUCUGUAUGUGUGCUUGUGUGAUUUGUAUUCUACACGUGUGUCAAUAUUGAAUGAAAAAAAAUCCUGAAACCUAGAAUAAGUAAGUUUAGUUCCAAUAAAGAAGGCCCUGAUAAGUGGAUUCAGUGAAUUCUCAGUCGAUUCUAUAUAUUAAUGGUUCAAAUGAAUCUUCUUUUAUUAUUUAGUUCCAAAUCCAGGAUGUCCAUGAGUUAUGGUCCAGAGCAUGAGCUUGCAUUUGUUUGCUAUUCUGAUAAUUGUCCUUUCAUGCACUAUCUAGGUAACAUAGUUGCGCUGCUUCAUUCCUUCUUUAGUAAUCUCCCGCAAGAAUGGCUGGAUGGGGCACAAGCGAUCAUCAAACACCUCAGACCAAUUACAUCCGUUGCAAUGUUGAGAAUAGCAUUUCGUAUAAUGGGUCCAUUGCUUCCAAGACUUGCCAAUGCUCACUCCCUUUUCAACAAGGUAAAGGAAGUGAUCCCUCUUCUUCUAUUUGGAUACUUCUGUGGAAAAUGCGACAUAGAGAAAUGAAGCUCAGUGUUCAUUCGAGUAUGUUUCUUUACUAUUUAUUAGUUGAGAAACAAAAUCAGAAUUAAAACUUGAAUAGGGUAAGAAGUUCGUGGAUCUUUAAACUUUUUCUUCUUAAAGGUUGGAAGUUUUGAAGGAAAAUGAAGUUAUCUCACAAUCACAAAGUUUGAGUGGUUAGACAGGAAACAUAAAACAGAAUCUAUCCUUCCCUUUUGCCACGUUUAAGAGUUGAGAGGGUGGAGUAACAAAGCACUAGCCUCUCUCACGCGGUCUUAUAGUAGAUAGAAGGCCUUUUGCAGUGAUAAUUUCAUAAGAUUGAAGUUUUAAAAAAAAUUAACCGUGUUGAUGUCUAUAGCCCAGAUAGUGAGUUUUCUUCUAUUGUGUCAUUUCUUUAUUUCAGCUGUCAACCUUGUCAUUUAUAUUUUUGUUUUUUGCUUGUCUAGUGUAAAGCUAUACCAGUUUGGUCAUAUCCCUAUAUAUUAAGGUUAAAUGACUAAUUACAAGAAACAUUUUCUGAUGACACAAAUGUCCUGAUUCCUAUAAAUGGUUUGAAGUGCAAGACAAUGGGAUAAGUUGACUUAUUGCUUUUGUUCCUUGAAGUUGUCUUCCCAUCUUCUUUAUCAUGCUCUGUACUCUGAGCUUCAAAGGAGACUUUUUCAGGAGCAUGCUUGAUAACUGGAAUAUUCUUCUUUAAGUUCCUACUUGCGCUUUUAUUUUUUAUACUUACUGAUCCUCCUCCUCUUCAAACCCUAGUGAGUUCUUUCCAAAGUCUUAUGGCAGGAUGCUGCAUUUUUCAAGUAAUUGUAAUCAGUGUUUGUUUAAAACUCAUCGUUCUGUCGACAGUACUUAAUGCAGAUGGUGUUUCAGCAAUAGUGAAUGUAAAGCUGUGUACUUAUUAAGUGUUAUCAGUUAAUGUAUGAUACUCUCAAAGUCAUUUUAUUUUUCACUAAGGGAGAGAACAUGAACAGUAGAACUUUGAUGUGUUCAUUAAAUUACGGUGUACAAUAAUCUAAGGCUAGAUUUAGUUGUCCGGAUUUCUAAUCAGGAUAGUAUUGGAUAGGAUAUGAUAUGAAAUUCUGGAAUUUUUCUAUAUAUUAUCAAUUAUUUGGUGAAUUGCAAUAUUAAGGUCGGAUAUAUUCACAUCGUAUCAUGUACAUUUUUUUGAUAUAAAUGACAUAUCAUUGUAAAUGAACCUAAAAUUCUUGAACUGAGAUAAUAAAAAUCUCUCGUGACACUAUUCUCUAAUUUAUUUUUAUUUUUGUUUUAUUUUUCCUAUCUUUUUAAAUUAUUUUCUUUAUUAUUUCUUUUUUCCCCUUCCAUCAUUCUUUAAUAAAAUUUUAUCAAAUAGUAAACUGUAUUAAUAUGCCUAAAAUAUGUAAUAAAUAUAAAUAAAUAAUUAAAAGAUUGAAUGUAUAUUAUAAGAUAGAAUUAAUGUUGAAUAUAUAAAUUAAUAUAAGAUUAAAAUUUAAAAAAUAAUUUUUUAUUUUUUAUUUUUAAUUUCUUAAAUUAGAAUUAAAAUAUUAUUUAUAUUGAAAUAUAACUUCAAUUUUGUUAAUUUAAUAAGUUUGUUAUUCGAGAAAAAUAACUUUUCUAUUAUGGACGUUAUAAAUCUUAUCUACCUUUAUCCCACUUUCCCCAUGGAUAAUUUUAUCCGGCUUAUAUUCCCCUUAUAUCUGACUUCAUUUUGUCCUGAGCAAGUACCAAACAUAAGAUAGGAUAAAUCAUAUCCUAUCCCAAAUUUUAUCCUGAGUCAAACGCAGCCUAAAGGUGUAUUCUAUGUAUAAAUGGUCAUUUUUCAUGAUUCUCUAUCAAUCUAUUAUCUGUGAUUGUCAACUCUUUCUGCGCGUCAUUAAUUUGAUCUAUUAUGUGGUAUUUUGCACCUACUUAUUAAACUAAGUUGUUUCUUAUUCUUCUCACUUCCAGAUACUUACAUUGUUGUUAACCACAUUGGUGGAUGUCUUUGGGAAGAACUCACAACCCUCAAACCACGUUGAAGCAUCAGAAAUAAAGGAUCUCAUCGAUUUCCUGUAAGUGGUUUUUCCUUUUGUAUGGUUAUCCAGGCAGAACAUUGCAGAUGUUUUUGGUGCAUGAGGUUUUGGAGAAGUGCCUCGGUUAAUUACUCUAUAGCGUUUCCCAAAAGGUGCUCAGUUUAGAAUUUGACAAUUCUUUGCAUGCGCAUGACAUAUCAUCGUAAAUUUUGUAUAUAGGAAGACUCAUGAUUUUAUCCCAAACUUUGGUUCAAAAUCUUAUCCAUAACAAAUCUUUUACUUCUCUUUUCACCAGAAUUGCAAGCAGUGGUAUCUGUUCUCGUCUAAUUAAAUGUACGCUGAAAUGAGAGUUGCAUCUGCUGCCUAAUGGAUGUCUUCUUAAUUGUUCUACCAGCCAUCAUGUCGUCCAUUAUGAAGGUCAGGGAGGACCUGUGCAGGCGAACAGCAAGCCCAGACCUGAGGUACUUGCUCUCCUUGGUAAAGCAUCCGAGAGACUUAGACCAGACGUGCAGCACCUUUUUUCUCACUUGAAACCUGACAUAAACACUUCCAUCUAUGCCGCCACCCACCCGAAGCUUGCACAAAAUUCAGGACAAUGAAAGCAUCUAUAGUCGACACCUGGAGCCUCAUAUGUUUGCUCAAUAAAAUUAUAAGUGGCUCCUCAUUUUGGCCGUUUCUCCCUCUUAUACAUGCUUGCAUUUGAAAGCAAAAGAGUCGCUGCUUCUGAAGCAUGAAGAUAUGCAAGUCUACUUGGUGCUGACCUUGGCGUCAUAAAUAGCCUGCAAACUGUUCGCUGGAUACUCUCAGGUAAUCUCUUCUGUAAAUCUGUAAAUACCCAAUCUUGUGACUGUUCGCUGGAUACUCUUCAGUUAAUCUCUUCUGUAAAUCUGUAAAUACCCAAUGUUGUGAUACAUGGAUACUAGCCUACAAAUUUUAGAUAUUACCUCGAAUCUUGGUUAUUAAAUCUUCAAGUGGAGUUCAGAUCCUACUAAAUUCUCCUCGUCUGUUCUCUCUGUAUGCGUGUGUUUUGGAUGUUGCCCUGUCUAAUUGGCUGCUUACUUCAAUGGUGACAUGUCGAUUCAUCAACAUGCCAACAAAAAGUCAUAACUACGAUCUCCCGAUGAUGACGAGGCCUUUCAUUCAGAAUUUCUGUAUAGGAUUCAUUGUUUAGAUUGAUCGUUGGGACGUGCCAAAAUUUUCUUUGGUAGUCAAAUUUAAGUAGGGAAACCUCGCACAUGGAAUAUCACAACUGAAGAUGAAACCGUGCGUGGUUUGAAGGACAUUAUAUAGUUCAUCGAGUAAAGAGAUAAACAGUGUCACUAGAGUGCUUUGUAAACUGGAUCGGACCGGUUGAAUUAUGUGUUGGUCAAUUCUUGGUUUGCUUAAUUGCGUGCCACUUAUAAAUCUGAUUUAGCAUGUCAUCAUGAGGUAGUGGUUAAGAGGAGGAGAGGGAGAUCAGAGAUGGGCGUAUUUUCCCAGCACGCUGGCCUUUUCCUCUCGGCCAUUGAAUGGGACUCUGCGUCUCGCUUUCCAAAGACCACAAUCUUCAUCUCAAGGUUCUCUUGCCGCAGAGAAACUCUCAAAACUCUUAUCCAUAAUUCUGUGAUUGUACAUUACUAGUCAUAAUAAAAUUUGUCCAUGAUAUCAUCGUACAAGAUUUUGAAGAAUUUCAUUUGCUUUCGGGUCAUCUCCCCCAAACAUAGAACUUACCGCGAGCAUUGCGGUUAUUAGCAACUUGUGGUUAUUGGCUGCUGCGAUAAUCCUAAUUGCAAAGUAGAAGAAGAUUUUGGACCCAAGACUGCGUGUGGUUUAUAGCUUCGCACUCUCUGGGCAUGCGUUCUUUUAAGGUCCGUAUCAAUUCGCGAAAACUACUGAAUCUCUGGGAAAACAAGUAGAACAGUGAAAACAGUAUAGUUGAAGGAGACUUUCUUUUCUUUUUUUUGAUCGACAGUUCAAGAAGAGUUACGGGGCACAAAACCGGAUCCCUCUGCACAUAUUACAGUAGAUUUCCUUUCACGCAGCGUAAUGGGACUUGCAUCGGAGUACUCAUCAAGCCAAGCAUAUGGAAAAGAUUAGCUUCGUCGAAUUGACAUGAAUCGGAUGUAACAUCCCCUGAAGCAAUAUCAAGACACUUAAAAAAGAGUCUCUCUAAGAGAAUCAUCUUUCUACAUGUCAUUGGCCAAAGACUUAGUUGAUAAGUUGAUAAAGUUAAUACAGAGCAUCCGGCAGAAAGGAUGUUCUCAGAUUUCAGAAAGAACAUGCUCCGAGGAUCCACAUGACACGACCUUCGAGAAAAGGGAGGUCGCAGUUUGCACCAUUUGUUCAUGGAAGAAUACGUAUUAUUAGAGAUACAUCUCUAAGGUUGAUUCUUAAAGUAACGACGGCUGAAAGAACAGAAUACCUCAGCCAUGCACUAGCAUACCAAGAUAAGAUUUUUCUUGCUGGAGUAAAUACCAGAUUAUUCAAAUUGCUAAUGGAAAAUCUUCUUUCAACAGGGACAUCAACAGCCCAAGAAGCUAAAUCUCCGUCCUCUCCCACGGGUGCUCAGUAAAGUCUCUAGGUGAACUAAGGAGAAUCAUCAUCCUACAACUGACAAUAGUCUCUUAACCAUUGUGUGCAUAAAUUGUGUUGACUUCAAUUAGCAUACCAGGUUCUGGGCAAUUCAGAAUAUUCAACUUGCAGUCAGGUGCGAGUAGCGAGACCACUUUCACUGCAGCUUAUAUGACCUAGAAGAAGCGAUCUGGGUGCAGAUGUCGAUCCAAUAUACAAACUCAACCCAUCAUCAACCUCCCACUCAAUAUGAAAAUACAUUUUGGUGACCCUCAAUUCUCACACACUCAACUGCUCCAGUCUUUAGUGCCGACCCCAAUACAGCCUAAUUUCUUAUUCAUUUUCAAUAAUCAGUCUUGCAUUGACGUCCAGUUCGAAUUGCCCAAAGGAGUGCAUCUGAUGAAACAGUCAUGUUGCCAUCUUAUUUUUCGUCUUAAUGAGAAUUGGCAAAGUUCCAAGCAUGAGUCUGAUCUUACGUGAACCAAAUCGAGACUGGCACAAAUCCAUAUUCCUACUGUAUUCAUCAUCAAAUUACUAAAUCAAUCACGUUAUGCGGUGCAGAAAAGAUGAAUCACAAUCCACAGCUCACAGCAGAGCCUAACAAAUGGGGAAAAGCAAUUCAUGUUUUGACGAACGAAAGAAAGGCUUUUCCUUUCAAAUGUCGGAAGGCCAUUUGUCCACAACUACAGCUAGCAGCAAUAGCUAAAUCCACAAGGACUUCCUUUAGCUCAUACUCUAGUCCCAUAAAUUUUUCGAUGUCUAACCCUGUCAGGUGAAUCUUUUCGUACAUAAGGUUACUCCACAUCAUCCCAUUCCACAACCAUCUGCAUUUCAUCCCCACUAAGCAAACUUAGGCUGGAAUACUCAGAACCAAGCAGACAGCACAGGGAAAUUCCAUACACGAACUUUGUGCCAUCCAAGCAAUUGAUACUCACUAAAAAUAAACAAAAGAACGUUUAGCGCACCUGCAAUUCGAUCGCGCCUACAGAAAAAUCCUCUCAAACCGGAUCUUAUAAACCCUAGGCAUCAAUAACACUUAAAUCGAACCACCCCAGAAAGUCACACAAUGAAUCUGCAAGUCAAUGCAACCCCCUCGCCCAACACUAAUAGACGAUGUUACUAAUUCCAACCCUCACAUUACGUCCGCCAUCUUCAAAUCCCACAAUAACCAACACAACGAACCGAAAGCUAGCCACAACACUACAAGAUCUCCCUCCUUUGAUUGUUUAGUUUCGAUGUUUUGGUUAUUGUUAGUUAAAUAAGUUAUUUGAAACGUUCUGGCUGUUUCAGCGACACCCACCAUGAGUGGUUCGCUUCUCUGUACCUGCAUCAAAUUCACUGGUUUAGUUUUUUUUUGACAACCUUUAAGGGUACAAUGGCAUUCUAAUGGAUUUUCUGCAUCAAGUUCUUGUGCAAAUUGAAGUAGGUUGAGUAAUAGUGCUACACGCCCCAUUUACAAUUGAUGGUUUUUUCUACGCCACUAGAUUCCGUAGCUUCUGAUGCUUGUGAUUUACAACUUAGAACUUGUCAAAUUUCGUGGGCUUAAAGUUCUAAAAUUAAUUUUGUGCAUCAAGUUACGACAGUACAAGCAUUUAAUCUAUUUCCCACAACAGUUAUAGUACACCCGAACACAACAUGAUUACUCUUCCUAAUCGUUCAUUAAUUAGAGUAUGAUGACAUGCCUAUGAAAAUGGUAGUAUAAUAUCCACCUAUUAUCUGACAUUUCGGUGAGGGCGUAUGCAACGUUUUCAUCUUUGUGAUCUUCUGGCUGAGCUUGUCAUUCUCAAAUCAGAUAUUCUUGUAAGUUCUAGGGAUACGUCUCCCAGGAUGAACAUUUUUUUUUCCUACUUGUUUGUAAGCAUGAGGUGAUCUUUCUUUCAUCUGGAUGGAAUUACAAUAUGCCCGGAAUUGUUAUCCUAAGUACACUUGUUGGGUGAAUAUCUAAUGGCCUGUUGGUCUCCCCAACCCUGUUGCAUGUUGUGGACAUUGUACUAAUUGUUUUAAGCCAUUUUUCAAUGCUGAUACGUUCAAGAGAUUUAGCUGAUGUUGAUUAUAGGAAACUAUAGGAAACAAAUUGAAGACCAUUAAACUAAGGCUAUCAAUUUGCCACUGACACUGGAACAAAUGGUACCAUACAAUGUCAGAGUGCUUAACAGACUUACAUUAUUGUCUGAACUGUGAAUACCUAUAGCUACAUGUAUCGUGCCUGAUGCAGCCCGCAUUGAAGACCAAGUCUCUCGACCAAGAAGAUCGGCCCGCAUUCAAGCUCGACGAAACCGAGAAGCCGUAUCGAUAUCUUGAGUCCAUCCCGGAAGUUUGAAAGAAGACACCUUGGGAGCCAUGAAGACGUUAUGCUUUUACUAGUUUCUAGUUCCUAAGCUCUUUAAUGCUUUCAAGUUUCUAUGCUCUAUCUUUAUUUCUUUGACGAUAUAAGCCAUCCAAUUCCUUGUAGAAGACAGACGACUUUUGACAAAUGAAAAAACUUUGCUUUGAAGCAAGUAUCUUGAACCUUGUAAAGUUCAUAUCCUUGAAAACCUAGAAGAGUUUUCACUCCGUCCUCGAAGAGUCGGAGCUUUUCGAAACCUGCAUCCUUGAAGAGUUGCAGUCAUCGAUCUGCAUCCUUGAAGAGUUGCAGUCAUCGAUCUAGAAGAAUCGGUGCCCCCUCAACUUCCUUGGAGGCCUAGAAGAGCAACCAACGGAGUCUCUAUCUUUUCCUGUUCUGUUCGUUACUUCCAACCCAAUUUCGACUAUUCUACAGUGCUUAUUCAGAAAACCCAAGAUAGAGAAAUUGUAGAUCCAGAAGUCUUUGUUCAUUUGGCUUUGGAAUCAGGUCGAUCCGAUCUGUAUAGACAAAGAUACGACUGUUCUCCUGAGCUCGCGCAGUGCUGAAAUUCCUGUCGUCCUGUUUCCGUGUGCGAGUCACUCUCCCGAUCCUACUGCUUGAGAAAGCCUACCCUUGGCUUGCAUCAGUGCCAUUGUAGUAUAUGUAAUUACUUUUGUUUAUGCUAAAAGAAUAUGUGUAUGAGUGUUUUGGCUAUAAUUCUGUCUCUCUGUUAUUUCCCUUGGCGAUGCAAAAUUUGCUACAGGUGGAAUGGUAGAUGGUAGAUCUUCCUGUAUGAAUUGUGAGGGUGUCAAAUUUUAAUUUUUUUUUGCAUAUAUAUGGAAAAUUAUUUACUAGUUUGGUAACUUCGUUAACCUCAUUCCCUGUCAUUCCACUGUCAAUAUUCCUUUUGUAUGUUUUGUGAAAUAAUCUUAUUAUUACUUCUGCUCUUAUGAAUUGGUUUUCAAUAUUCCCCUACUUUCUGCUAGUUUCAUGAUGUAAACUGCUGAAUGAAAAUAGUCUAGCAGAAAAGUCAUGAAAUCACAUAAUGGUAACGUUUAACUCUGGACCAUCACAUAAAACCUGACUAAGGCAGAAGCCUCAGUUAAUGGCAAAACGUUGGUCCACUAAAUCAGCAUAAGUGGUCUGUCUCACACUAUUUAUCUACUUAAAUAUGAGCUCGUGGAAUGAGCCAAAUGAACUUAACGUGGCUUCUUUCUGGAAAUGGAAGGAAAGGAUAGUUGUCAAGCAAGGAAUUUCAUCUUUUCUGAUGGUCUAAGGUAAGGAUCGAGGUGGAUGUUGUGCCUGUUGAUUUUGUCUUUUGCCACAUCAAGUCCAUUCUGCAUUAUAAUCAAUAUGUGCUCCACUUGGUGAUUCUAUCUUCACCCUGUCCAGAAUUUCAUCUGAUUUUAUCCUUGUCUUUUGUGCAGAAGAUAUUUACUAACUUAGACCAUUAUUCCUAGGUAAAUUUUAUUUGCAGUGGGUUUUAGUAAAUACCCCAUCGGAGUCUUAAGAUUCUUUUAUGAAUUCUCUAACGAAGUAAUCCUCGUACUUUACCAGUUGGACGGGCUUGGCUGCGAAUUCUAGGUCUGUAGCGCUACAUUAAGCAGUGCUGGGAAGUCUUUUAGAUUAAGCUUAACAUAUGAAAGAAGACAGCAUUUGCACUUGCAGAACUGUCUAAGAUGUACAGGCCUUCGAUUUCUGGAAAGUUUUUAUGGUCUCUAUUGAAAGUGUACUAAAGAAUUUGAUCAAAAGAAUGUCUUCUUUUGCCACUACCAUGAUCUAUUAUCUCUCUCUCUCUCCCCGCGUGUGUGCAUGCAUGUGUGUAUCUGUGCGUGUGGACUCUGGGUAUGCCUCUAUCAUGUAAUGAAGCUGGAAUUGUGCAACCUGCAAUGUGUGUAUCUGCGCAUGUGUGGACACUGGGUAUGCCUCUAUCGUGUAAUGAAGCCGGAAGUGUGCAACCUGCAAUGUCAAGAAUGGUUUUAGCCACUUGUUGAACCUGUCUCAAGAAGUCAGUAUAUAAAUGUCUGUUUCAAGCGAAAGAAUUAGCUUUAUGAGCCAGCUAACAUCUCACUUUGUUUCCCCGUGUUUGUGCAUUGCAGGAGUUCGACUGUUCAUACGGUCCAGCUUGGCGUUGCAUCGUGGGAACUAGCUUCGGAUCUUAUGUCACGCACUCGCUUGGAGGCUUCCUGUACUUCUCAAUCGAUAAGGUUUACAUCCUUCUCUUCAAGACAGCAGUUGAGCCCUUGGACCACUGAUUGUAUCUGGACAGUCUCUCUGUCUUGUUACGCCUUCACAAGUUUUUCUUCCUAGAUUAGUAUGUAUAAUUGUGGUUUGCGAAACUUCCAAGCGUCAACUUCGAAGGUAUUCAUCACUAACUGCCUGCCAGCGGACCGGUGACUACCAAUUCUUGUAAUAAUUUCUCAUGUCGGAUUGAAUCUCAACCAUUUAUCUGGUGUCUAACGCUCUAUACCUUGUUCCAGACUUAAAUUUAGGUGGUUGCGUUAUGAUUUGUAACUCGUCAAUGUCCUAUCUAUAAUAUGAGAUUAGGUAACUGUUUCUAUGUUCUGCUUGAUCGCAAGCGACAGCUGCUUAACCACAUUACCCCUACCGUUGGGCCCUGAGGGGUACUAGUCUAGAUUAUAUACGGUCAUGUACUAAACAAAAUAUUACAAAUAUAAACAUAUACCCACGUCCUUAACCUAUCAUAUCCUAAUCCUAUAUCAAUGUCAAUCCCUCCGUUAAGGCUCUGUUUGUUUCGUGGAAAAUAAUUUCCAAGAAAAUAUUUUCCGGAUUUUCUGGCGUUCAUUUCAUGGAAAAUAAAUUCACUGGGAAAAAUGUUUUUCAUGAAAGGAAAAAAAUCUUCUAAAUUAAGGAAAAAUGUUUUCUACUUUAAUGUUUUCUACUUUUUAAGAGUAGAAAACAUUUUCCUCACUUGAUUUCUCUUAUCUCACACCUCUACAAAUCCUCACUUUCUCCUUUCCUUUCUUUUUCUUAUUUUCUUUUUUUGUUCGAAUUAUUUUUAAAUUUUCUUUUUCUUUUUUAAUUCGAAUUAAUUUUAAUUUCCUUUUUCUUUUCUUUGUUUCCCAUCUUUUUAUUUCUUGGCUAGUCAUUGGCCGUUGCCAGUUGAAUCUCGAGCUCAUCAAUCUCAAGUUCGCAUUGGGCACUCUUGCUUAUCAUUUUCUUUAUUUAUUCUACCAUGUAGUUGUACAUUGCUCAAGCAAAUGGCUCUACAUUCUUUACUUCUUUUCUCUUUUGUUUAUUAAAACACAAAAGAAGCCAGGGGAGACCACCACCCUCAGCGGUGCAGCUGGCUCGAGCUCUCUCCUCCUCACGAAGGGAAGAAGUUCGAAUCACAGAAACGUUGUUAAGGAUUCUUACCUGAAGUAUUGUGGUGGUGGGUCUUGUAAUCGCUCCCCCAGGGUUUGCUCGCCGGCCGUUCCCUUAACGGAUUCCCUUGGUUACCAAAAAAAAAAAAAAAAAGAAUCUGGGGGAGAAUAGGCCACUCAAUUGGAAUAUUUUCAUGGGCUGUCGAAUAUCAGAAAACAAUGUCAUUUUCCUAGAAAAUGACUUUUGAAAAAUAUUUUCUGGAUAUCGCCUAUUUUCCGUGAAACGAAUGGAUCCUAAAUGUAGCAUGAGUUUUCAACCUCUAGAGAUUGAUUGUCAAGAUAAUUCCAUUCAUUUCACAGAAAACAACUUGUAAAAAAACAUUUUCUAGAUUGUUCAGUGUUUAAUGGAAAAUGAACUAGUAGGGGAAAACAUUUUUCAUUAAGGAAAAAAAUUCUUUUAAAAUUGGGAAAAAUGUUUUCUAUUUUUCAAGUUGGGGAAAUAGAAAACAUUUACCCUACUCACUCUCUUAUCUCGUACUGUUUUAGCCCAUCUUCUUUCUUUUUUUUUUCUUUUUUAAAAAUUCGAAUUUUUAAUUUUUUUUCCACUUUUUUCUUGGUUGGUUGCCAACCAUGACAAUGGCCGAUGACCAGCCAUAGGCGAGCUCGAACUCGCCAAUUUGGUUAGGCCCAAGGCCAGUGAGCCAGUAUCGAGCUUGAAUUCGCCUUUGGACAGAUUGGCCAAUGAAGAAGAAGAUAAGAAAAAAAAAUUAAAAUUUAUUUUUAAGGAAAUAAAAUCAAAUAAUAAAAAACUCGAUUUUUAAAAUAAUAAAAAAGUUAUUAAUAAAAGGUGCACGGAGAAAAAAAAUUUCCUUAUCAAAUAGCCAAAAAAAAUUUCCACUUUAUUUUCAGAUCUUAGCUGUAUAUAGAAAAAUAAUUAUAUUUUCUUGAAACAUGAUAUUUUAGAAAAUAUUUUCCAAAAAUGCCUUAUUUUUCGCGGAAGGAAUGGGUAAGCAUCAAAGUCGUGGGAGCGAAGCAAAAAUAUUAUAGAAUCUAAAUUAAUUUGGCCCCAAGUCAUUGUUUACACGUGAAUCCUGUUACUUCCACUUUUCUUGGCAACUAAGAAAACAAAAAGAUCUCUUGCUUCUUAUCAAAGCCGCUACAUUGAGAUGGACCCGCAUUUCGCACAGUCCAGACAAAAAUUAUCUAUCCACGUUCCCAUUAGGAGUCCAAAUAUCCAAUCAUAUCCCCCUCACAGGCUCUUGUUCAUAUUUCUCCCCUCAAGGCCUCAUUCUCUUCUUCUGUUCUCAAUCAUAAACCAGCAAAUCCAAAGAGUCAUGCUCUGUCAGAAGAUUGGUAGAACCAAGAAAUGCCAAACCUAUCGUUCAAUGUCGAUCAUGCGUCUCCUGAGGAUGAGAACAUAGGUGAGCCGACAGUACCGGGUCAACCCCAUGAGGCCCUGCUUCUGGUCUUGCCUUAUCUCAGCUUAUCUGGGCUGAUUGCCGUGGGCGAAGUGUGCACGUCUCUGAGAGAUGCGCUGCGUGACGAUGUUCUGCCGUGGCUCGAACUCAUUGUCGACGAUCCUUUGAGUCGGCGGAUGUGUGACGAGAUACUUAUUGAGAUCACUUCAAAGGCAAAUGGGAAGCUCCGGACACUGGGGCUGUUCAAUUGCAUGAAAAUCACAGACGGCGGGCUUCAAACUGUUAUAGAGAGAAAUCCUCUCAUCAACAAGGUAAGAUGCAAACCGCUACUCCAGUUAUCCUUUUCUUCUUUGUGUUUAUUGUGAAUUGCUGGAGAUGAUACCUGUAUAUCAUUGUUUUCUGCUCAUGUCCAGCAAUUAAUCAUACCCUUAAACUUGUUUGCUUCAUGAAGCAAACUGCUCCGUCGAACUAAAGAAGUAAGCUCGUGGCAGCCAAAAUCAUAGUGUACGGAAAAAUGUCCGUAAACAUAGUGUUUCUUGUGGGGUUCAGUUUAGUGUUGAUGGCUUCUUAGUGUGCGAUUAGCAACGUCUGAAAAAAUGAGUGGAGACAAUAAUCGUUUGUUCUUCAAAAUAGAAGUAAUUCGAUUUGCAGAAAGUUUACUUUGAUGGCUUAAAAUUGUUGUAUAUGAAGUUAUAUGUACCGGGAUGUACUGGCUUGACACCAGAGGGAGUCAUAAACGCAGUGAAGACUCUAUCAGCACAUGGUAACAUUUUACAGUCCAUAAAGAUCAAUGGCAUCUACAACCUGCAGAAGCAACACCUUCAAGUGCUUCAGUCCUACGUUCAAGAGAAUCCCAAAACGCUGGAGCACAAGUGCUCCACGCACUUUGGACUCGAGGGUGACUGCAAUAUUUGUCCUCUCGAUGUGGAAAUCUGUCCAAAAUGCAACGAGGUGAGGAAGGUCUUUAUCUGCCCUAUAGAAACAUGCGUGAGGAAGAGAGACCGGCGAUUAAGUGAAUGUAGAGGAUGCAGCUCUUGCAUUCCGAGGUGCAUCCAGUGUGGCGCAUGUGUCGAACCUGACGAUCUAGAGGAAGCCGAGGCUAUUUGUGCGGACAUCUUAUGCAUGAGGUGCUGGCUCCAACUACCCAAGUGUGAUUUCUGCAACAAGCCAUACUGCAAGCAACAUGCGGAGGGGCAGCUCAAUCCUUCAGGGUCUCGGGGGUUUGUUUGUGAGUUGUGUGCUGUAUACGAGGAGGAUGAUAUUGAUGUAUAGCUUUGGGCAAAUGAAUCUUGAGAAGGCACAAGCAUAAGGUUCCCUUUUUGCGUAUGAAUGCAUUCUGCAGCAUGUCCCACAUAGUCUCUUUUUGCUACCGUUAGUGCACAGGUGAUGAUUAUACCUUCUCUUCUCCAGAAGUGAACCUUGUUUCAUUCGUUUUGACCGUGCAGUGAAACGGGCAAGAGUACGCACAUAUGAUCUCCUGAGUUUGUGCCCGGUCGUUUGAUUUUACCAUUACAUUUUCUAGCUGUAGAAUCACGUCAUUCAACUUGUGUCAGAUCAGAAAUUGUCACACCUCACUCUUACGAUUCUAUCUUUUGAAGUCACUCCAUCGUUUUUCAUCCCAAAAGUAUGCAGUCGGUAAAGACCGAUGAUAAUGCCUUUAUGAAAGUUGCAAACUGGUUUACAAAAAGAGCUUGGAUUCAACUGUUGGAAAUUAUAUAAAAAAAAAAACAAACUAUUUGUUGUAAUCAGAACAUCAAUGUAAAGAAAACGAUAACAGUUAUACAAUAUCAUUCUUUUUAUUUAAACUUACAAAUCUUGGAGAAUAAUAAAAUAAGAAAUCACUGGAAAAAUAAUAUUAAAUUGGAGGUGAGGUACGAAUAACUGAAUCUCCUUAAGGCGACUAGUUCCUGUUAAUGGUGCUCUGCAGAUUCACGAACUAUGCAUCCCAAGAUAUAACACCUCGAACUUAUUUGGAUUAGCACUAUGCAAACAUGAUUCUGUCGAACCGUUCAAUUGAACCAACACACCCAGAAAAAAAACGGAAGAGUAGAAAAGUAUAUCAAAGCUCUUUUGGAAUUGAGUCGAAAAAGCCAAAACCGAAAAACUGUAAUGAAACUCGAUACUUCCAUCUAUUUAUAGAGAUUUUUAGUUCAUGUACAAAAGAGAUACAUGAAUUAAAUAGAUGUGUGUAUCCACGAAAUUCAUGAAUCAAGAGAUACGCAAAUCCAAGAGAUUCAUAAAUCCAAAGACACAUGAAUUCAAGAGAUUCGUGAACUCUAUAAAUACAUGAAUUUAGGAAAUUCAUGAAUUCAAUAGAUACGUGAACAUAAAAGUUGAGGAAAUUCAUGAAUCCAAAAGAGAUACAUGAAUAGAAAAAAGCGUAUCUUAAUUUAUUGACUUUCGUUGAUUCAUUAACCAUAAUUAUAACUAUAAUUACAACAAUUUCUCACAUUAAUGGAUCAACAAAACAUUUUUGACUCGAAGGAAUCUGAGCAUGCCUGUUGAAAUACACCACAUCAAAAUAGGUAGCUUUUGCUUUGAACCUUCUUUAGUGAAAGCCUAUCGGACUUAUUUAACUAGUCAACGGACUAAGCCUUGAAUUGCCAGUUGUUUGUGUAAGCCUAGACAAUAAACCUCACACGGAGUAUUUCCAAUUCAAGAUUAGUUCUCAGUUGUGUUCAUUCUUUCGACCUUAAACCUCUCGGAAUUCAUGCGUGCUUUAAAGAUUUUCAUAAAUUCGGCCAGCUCCAUGCAUAUAGGUGCAUUCCUAUUAAAGAUAUCCUACCAUAUGAAUGUUACAUUCCAAGUUAUAUGAAUCAUUAAACACAUAUUGUACCAUUAAUAACACUGUAGGAAAGCACUGUUGCAUCAUAGGAAUGGGAGACAGUGCUUACACUAGAGUUUCCAGAGUUUGCGUUGUCCUAUUGAACCUAGACCAUGGGAUCUCCAAUCGCAUAUGUUAGGUUUCCAUUCCAAAAUCUCUUUAUUAGGUUAAGGCGCUUAAACCCAUUCCCCUCCAUGUGCAGUUUACCUUUGUCAGUGGAUUCGCAAUAUUUUCUUUUGACUUUACAAAGUCUAAAUAAAUGAUUCCAUUUGAGAGCAAUUGUUUUACGGUAUUGUGUUUACAAUGAAUGUGUCUAGACUUACCGUUAUAAAUCACAUUAUGCACCCCCACAUUUUUAGAAAAUUGUAGGAUGACAAUUUUUCAUUCCAUAACUCGUAUGGAGUUUUACCUGGCCUUUUGUGAGGUAUUUUAUUAAGGAUAAAUUAUGCAGUUAAAACUGCCCCCCACAAAUUCUGAGGUAAACUUGAACUCAAAAACAUGGCGUUAGCCAUCUCCUUUAAAGUGACAUGUUCAAUCGUUCAGCAACUCUAUUUUGUUGUGGAGUAUAAAGGCAGUCGUUUGGAGAAUUAUUCCAAAACUAGCACAAAACUCCUUGAAAUUGAUUGAACUAUAUUCUCCUCCUCUAUCAGACCUAAGCACUUUGAUUUGUUUAUCAAGUUGGUUUUCAACUUCAUUUUUAUACUUGACAAACAUGCUCAUAGUCUCAUAUUUGCUAAUUAAUAAAUAAAUAUAGCAAAAUCUAGUAUAGUCAUCCACAAAUGUGAUGAAAUACUUCUUUCCCCCUUUACUUUCUACAAACUUUAAAUCACAUAGAUCACUAGGGAUUAAUUGUAGAAGUUCACUUGUUCUUUCAAUGGAUUUGAAAGGUUUCUUGGCAAACUUGGCCUCAACACAAGUCUCACACUUGUAAUGAGCAUCCAACUCAAAUCUUAGAAUUAACCCCAAAUUUGCUAUUCUCUUCAUUGUACCAUAAUUUACAUGUCCUAAUUUACCAUACCAUAGAUAAAGAGACACAACAGUGUAAACUGAAAACUUUUCUUUAUUAAUAGUCUUUGGCUACACAUAAUUUGAGUUUAUAUCAAUGAUAGCACAUUGGCUUUAAACAAGACUUUACACAAGUACCACAAGUAUCAUUUCCCCACGCACAUCCCUCCUUUUGAAAGUAUAAACUUGUCAGAUUCAAAUACAACUUUAAAAUCCUUCUUGACAAGUAUGGGGCCAGAAAUUAGGUUUUUCUGAAUUUCUAGUACAUGCAACACAUUCAACAAGAUGACCUCCUUGCCAUCUAACUUCAGGAUCACCUUUCAUCUUCCUGUAAUCUUUGUUCAGGAUCACCUUUCAUCUUCCUGUAAUCUUUGUUGAUGCAGAGAUAGCCAUAUAAAGCUUUUCAUCUUCUUCAUCCUUCUCAUAAGAUGAGAACAUGUGUUUAUUUACAUAGAUGUGAUUUGAUGUAGAGAUAGCCAUAUAAAGCUUUUCAUUUUCUUCAUCCUUCUCAUAAGAUGAGAACAUGUGUUUAUCUGCAUAGAUGUGAUUUGUGGCACUCGUAUCUAGCCAUUAGCUAUUAGUGUUCGACACUAGAGAUGCUUUGGACAUCACCACACUAGACAAUCUCUCAUUAGCUGUAAUUGGAGGUGUUGCCAUCACAGUAGGCAAGGUUUGUAGAACCAUCUCUCUAGAAAUAGAGCCAAAAGCCAUUUGGCUUGUAAUGUUCUGAAAAAUAGUCCCGGGCAUACUAGUCGUAUGAUUUGUACCUGCACCACCAAAAUUGGUGUUAGCCCAGGGGCCCGUAGCAUUGGCUACUAUAAAUUUAGACCUAGAGGGCUAAAUAUCUUCCAUAGCAACGGUCGAAUUGACCAUAGGAAUGUCUCCUGAAACAUUAUGAACAUUGAAUGUCACUUAAUUGUUUUUAGCCAUCUCAAUAAUCUAACAAUAACAACAAACAGUGAGUGACCUAAUCGCCUUAAGAUUGUUGGAAAUUAUAUCCAGAGAAAACACAAACUGUUUGUUGUAAUCAGAACAUCAAUGUAAAGAAGACGAUAAUAGUUAUAUAAUAUCCUUCUUUUUAUUUAAACUUACAAAUCUUGAAGAAAAAUAAAAUAAGGUAUCACUGGAAAAAUACCAUAAAAUUAGAGAUGAGGUACGAAUAAUCGAAUUUCCUUAAGGCGAUUAGUUCCUGCCAAUGGUACUCCGCAGAUUCACGAACUAUGCCUCCCAAGAUACAACACUUUGAACCUAUUUGGAUUAGCACUAUGCAAACAGGAUUCUAUCGAACCGUUCAAUUGCAUCAACACACCCAGAAAAAAAGAGGAAGAGUAGAAAAGUAUAUCAAAGCUCUUUUGGAAUCGAGUCGGAAAAACCAAAACCGAAAAACCAUAAUGAAGCUCUAUGCUCCCAUCUAUUUAUAGAGAUUUUUAGCUCAUGUACAGAAGAGAUACAUGAAUUAAAUAGACGUAUGUAUUCACGAAAUUCAUGAAUCAAGAGAUACGCGAAUCCAAGAGAUUUAUGAAUCCAAAGACACAUGAAUUCAAGAGAUUUGUGAACUCUAUAAAUACAUGAACUAAAAAAUACAUGAAUAUAGGAAAUUUAUGAAUUCGAUAGAUACGUGAACAUAAAAGUUGAGGAAAUUCAUGAAUCCAAAAGAGAUACAUGAAUAGAAAAAAAACGUAUAUUAAUUUUAUUGACUUUUGUUGAUCCAUUAACCAUAAUUAUAACAACAAUUACAACAUCAACUUUUGAGCAGGACACUCAUGGAACAUCCUUGCCAUCUAUGAAGCACAAUCUUGUUCCCUCCCAUUACCAUGCGACAUCAUUCAUUUUAGUUUUCUUUUUUCAUUGCACUCUUCCAAUUUCCUUGUGCAAGUGAUUUAGCUGUGAUGACUUAAGAGGUCAUUCCUUCUCAGCAGCGGCCCUUCAUGGGGUGACCAUAUUCUCCUCUGUUCGACUUAUGAUGAAUCCAUUCAGCAGAAUAAUCGACCUUAAUUAAAAAUCGGAAAGAAUAUUAUGUUUAUUCAUGUUGAGAUGGCAUGUCUAUUCAUAUUUCUUAAAUAUAAAUGAUAAUUCCCAUGGUACAUCAUUAAUUGACUGAUUGGAAAGUUAUGAAAUGAGUUAGAUUGUGAAAAUCUUUUAAUCAGAGUAUAAUACAACAAGUGCUUUAUACGCGAAUAAUUUAUCUCACUUCAAGAUGGGGGGUAUUUUUUUUUUUUCAUAAAUUCAUAGUUGGAUCGCAAAUCAUGUAUGUACAUGCAUUUUUUUUUUCUUUUUUGGGUAAAAGUACAAGUACUUCCUCACAAGAGAGCAUUUUUGCCUCAAGUCAAUGUUCAGCUAACUUUACAUAAAAGGUUGUUCUCGAAUUUCAAUCACAUUUGAAAGACUUUCAAAUAGGGCCGCAAGCAAUUGCUAUGACGAGGGUCACAACGCUUGCCUAAACUAGCCAAGGAGACCUCACCCAACUCUCUCCCCCCCUUUGUUUCUCACAAUUGCGUUUUUGUGUGAUGCCAUGGUGUUGCCACGAUUGUUGCCAUGCCUCUUUGUUCUCAAAAUUAUUCUCUCUUAACUUACUAAAAAAUAGCCAAGUAGGAUGAUAAAUCCGUAAUUCACAUUAAUUUAUAAUAGUUCUUAUAGAAUAUCACCUUGAACUAAAUAUAUAUUUUUCAAGAAACACACUAAGCCAAAAAAGAUGUUUGAGGACUUGAUUAAACAAUUUUAAGAAGGGCCUAUCUAACACCUAUUUGGCACCAUGUUAACUCCAAGUCUUCUAAAAAUGUUUAACAUGAAACACAAAACAAUAAAAAAUGUUAAUAUUCUCACUUGUCUUGAAAACUUAAUUGCGUGACUUUUAUAAAUUUUAAAAUUUGAUCGUACAAAGCUGAAUUUUGGAAUUUAGUUCAAUUUCAGAAAUAAGUUUCGUUAUUUUAAGAUUCACAUAGCAAUGACUUAAUAUAGGGAUUUUUGUUAAUGAUAGUAAGAACAGUAUGAUUGACAAUUUGACAUUUCCUUCAAUAGUUUUUGAGUUUUUAUCUUUUAUCUUUUCCCCUUUUUGGCUUUGUAAGCAACUAAUAAAGCCAACGGAAAAAAAAAAAAAAAAACACGCUUUAGGGGCAAAAUUCUCCUCGCAGCUCCAGAGGGAAGAAGAAAGCCAACGGAAACCCACGCAGCUCCGAAACUCCCCCCCUUCCCCCCCGCCAUCGAAAUGGUCCGCCGAGAAGAAUCGUAGGAGCUCCGUCGCUUCUUCGCACCCCCGCCCCGCCGCCGCGCCGCGCAGCGAACGUGAUCGCCGGGGAGGGAAGAUGGAUCAGCCGCCGCAGCGAUCGAGCUCGGCCUCGCGGGCCUACCAGGUCCAUCCGUCUCGCGCCGCCAUCAACGAUCUCUUCAACCUCUACUUAGGAGUAAAACUCUCUCUCUCCCCGAAACAAUCCUCCUUCGGCUUUUGCGUGUUUCGACUCUAGUCGUUCGCAAGUGUCUGACUUCGCUCGUGUUUCGCAGAGGAACAGCCGCCACCGAGCCGACGACUCCGUCCGCGAACCCCCGUAAGGGCUCGAAACUCGGAAUGCGUGAAGCCCGUGGAUUGGCUCUGUGUUGUCGCUUGUGUCUGUUAAGUGUAUAGGAGUACGAUUGUGGAGCAAUUGAUUAAGUUUCCGGUCCAACUGAAAAUGGUCCUUUCGUUGUUAGGUGAAUUAGAUGGUUUUUGCGCCCACCCCUUGUGCCCUAGGUCUAAGAUGAGAAGGUGAUUUUGCUGUCCAAAGUUGGGAAGGGAAAUUUCGGUGUGUUUGUUGUUUGAAUCAGAGUUCGACUUCUGGGUAUUGUUGGGCUGUGCGUCGGAUGCAAUGAGGAAUCUUUGGUGGUUUGCUUCCUUCGGGGGUUAAUUCUGCUUCAAUUUGCAUCUAAAUCACCUGCAGGAAUAAGGCGCAGAAGCGUGUCGUGGCUUUUAACAGGGACCUUCCUCCUCAGAAUGACCAGUUCAUUGUGGACUUCCAGCAACUUCAAAACCAGUUUGCUGUAGGUUAAUAAAUCCUAUUGCAAAUACAUCUUCCUUUUGCAUUUUUUCCUAAAUCUCCCUCUCUACCUAUAUAAUUUUAUGUAACUAGCAGAUGCGAGCUUAAUGUGUGUGCUGUGCAUUUCAGGACCAAGAUCAACUGCGAUCCAUGACAGAAUCUGUAAUUAUAUCUUUGGUUGGACUGUGCAGAAAUCAUGCACCACGGGCAGAGUUUCUUCUCUUUGCUCUACGGAGCUUGUGUGGUAUUGGUUACAUUAACUGGGACACAUUUCUGCCUUCUCUUCUUUCUUCAGUUUCGUCAACUGAACUUUUAGUGGGUCAGGGGAGCCAGUCUAUGCCUGUAGUAUCACCAACAAGCUUAUCACAGUCUGAAAGGGUAGCAUCAUCAGGCGCAAUCCCCAAUUCGAACUUUCAGCCUUCCAAUCCUGCAUCUCCAUUGUCAUCGGUUCAUGUCAUUGGUUCUCCUGGUCAGUCAACAAUUGAACCAUCAUCUGGUGCGACAAUGUCACCGGUAAAAUCAUCUGAUAUCUCCUUCUCUGGUCAACAUGCCGCAGUGAGAACUGGUUCAUCUGUAAGAGACAGUGGUGUGAGCAGCCUACGUCAGCUAUGCUGCAAGAUUAUCUUGAUAGGUCUUGACUUUAAUUUAAAACCGGUGACUCACUCAGACAUAUUCUCACAUAUGCUUAAUUGGCUUGUUAAUUGGGAUCAAAGACAACAUGGAAUGGAUGAAUCCAAUGUCAUCAAGUCCUGGAGACCUGACAAGGCACUGAUAGAAUGGCUACACAGUUGUUUGGAUGUGAUUUGGCUAUUGGUUGAGGAGGACAAAUGUCGAGUGCCCUUUUAUGAAUUGCUACGCAGUGGCUUGCAGUUCAUAGAGAACAUACCGGAUGAUGAGGCCUUAUUC